Molecule: ribosomal RNA, 188 nt
Filed under: uncultured bacterium
Lineage: Bacteria
Description: partial 16S ribosomal RNA
Rfam family: Bacterial small subunit ribosomal RNA
Source: RNAcentral
CCUACGGGAGGCAGCAGUAGGGAAUAUUGGGCAAUGGACGGAAGUCUGACCCAGCCAUGCCGCGUGCAGGAUGAAGGCGUUAUGCGUUGUAAACUGCUUUUUUAUAGGAAGAAGGAGACCUUGCGAGGUUUGGUGACGGUACUAUAAGAAUAAGCACCGGCUAACUCCGUGCCAGCAGCCGCGGUAAU